CCUACGGGCGGCAGCAGUGGGGAAUAUUGGUCAAUGGGCGCGAGCCUGAACCAGCCAAGUAGCGUGAAGGAUGACUGCCCUACGGGUUGUAAACUUCUUUUAUAAAGGAAUAAAGUGAGGCACGUGUGCCUUUUUGUAUGUACUUUAUGAAUAAGGCACGGCUCACUCCGUGCCAGCCGCCGCGGUAAUACGGAGGAUUCGAGCGUUAUCCGGGUUUAUUGGGUUUAAAGGGAGCGUAGAUGGGUUGUUAAGUCAGUUGUGAAAGUUUGCGGCUCAACCGUAAAAUUGCAAUUGAUACUGGCAGUCUUGAGUACAGUUGAGGUAGGCGGAAUUCGUGGUGUAGCGGUGAAAUGCUUAGAUAUCACGAAGAACUCCGAUUGCGAAGGCAGCUUACUAAACUGUCACUGACAUUGAGGCGCGAAAGUGUGGGUAGCAAACAGGAUUAGAUACCCGUGUAGUC
RNAcentral lists this ribosomal RNA (460 nucleotides) under uncultured bacterium. RNAcentral's name for it is "partial 16S ribosomal RNA". It matches the Rfam family "Bacterial small subunit ribosomal RNA", at positions 338 to 795 of the family's 1533-position model. The record is from RNAcentral.